UACGUAGGGUGCAAGCGUUAUCCGGAAUUAUUGGGCGUAAAGAGCUCGUAGGCGUUUGUCGCGUCUGCUGUGAAAACUGGAGGCUCAACCUCCAGCCUGCAGUGGGUACGGGCAAACUAGAGUGCGGUAGGGGGAGAUUGGAAUUCCUGGUGUAGCGGUGGAAUGCGCAGAUAUCAGGAGGAACACCGAUGGCGAAGGCAGAUCUCUGGGCCGUAACUGACGCUGAGGAGCGAAAGCAUGGGGAGCGAACAGG
Molecule: ribosomal RNA, 253 nt
Filed under: uncultured bacterium
Lineage: Bacteria
Description: partial 16S ribosomal RNA
Rfam family: Bacterial small subunit ribosomal RNA
Source: RNAcentral